Long non-coding RNA from Apis florea (little honeybee), 305 nucleotides. The record is from RefSeq and is a predicted model, not a curated record. Lineage: Eukaryota; Metazoa; Arthropoda; Insecta; Hymenoptera; Apidae.
UGAAAAUUUCCACGGGCGAGAUCUUUCUACGCGAGAAUGGUUUCUGGAAAUAGGUGGGUAUUAUUCCGUCGGUGAAAUUAAUUCUGGAGGGGCUAGUUUGCAACGGACACAACAGGCAUGCUAUGCGUCAGAGGACUGGAAACAGAUGUUCUCGCGAAAGAUGACAGGGUUAAGUAGAUAAAAGGAGCAGCUGCUGGUUCCAACGACCGACGACGAUUCAUCGCGUUUUCCAUGCAGUGCACAAUGCUCUGCCAUCGCGCCCUUGUCGUUCUCUUUGCUGCUGUCAACGUGCCAAUCGGUAAGUG